RNAcentral lists this ribosomal RNA (492 nucleotides) under uncultured bacterium. RNAcentral's name for it is "bacterial SSU rRNA". It matches the Rfam family "Bacterial small subunit ribosomal RNA", at positions 28 to 517 of the family's 1533-position model. The record is from RNAcentral.
GAUGAACGCUAGCGGCAGGCCUAAUACAUGCAAGCCGGACGGCAAGUUGAGUAGCAAUACUUGACCUAGAGUGGCGUAAGGGUGCGUAACACGUAUGCAAUCUGCCCACAGCCGGGAGAUAGCCCUCCGAAAGGAGGAUUAAUAUCCCAUAGGAAGAUGAGAUGGCAUCAUUUUAUUUUUAAACUACGGGGCUGUGGAUGAGCAUGCGGUUGAUUAGCUAGUUGGCGGGGUAAAGGCCCACCAAGGCGAUGAUCAAUAGGGGACCUGAGAGGGUGAUCCCCCACACUGGCACUGAGAUACGGGCCAGACUCCUACGGAGGCAGCAGUAGGGAAUAUUGGACAAUGGGUGUAAGCCUGAUCCAGCCAUGCCGCGUGCAGGAAGAAGGCCCUUUCUGGGGUUGUAAAACUGCUUUUGCCGGAAGAACCCCUGAACGUGUUCGGGGCUGACGGUACUGUAUGAAUAAGGAUCGGCUAACUUCGUGCCAGCAGCCG